GCAUGCUUUGUUCUUCAUCUUCUAUUGAUGCAAUAUGAUAUUAUUUCGAUAUCCCUGGAGUUGGAAUGGUAAGAUUGAUUGUUAAUCCUUAUAGAUUUCUUAUUUUUGCUUUAUAUUGCUAUGGUUUUACUUGUGCAGAAGCAGUGAUAGAAAAGAAUAAGAUAAUUGGUUGGCUCAAAUCUAACUUGAAAAUCAAAUGUGAUGUUAUUUCGAUAUCGCUGGAGUUGGAAUGGUGAGAUUGAUUGUUAAUCCUUAUAGAUUUCUUAUUUUUGCUUUAUAUUGCUAUGGUUUUACUUGUGCGGCAGUAGUGAUAGAAAAGAAUAAGAUAAUUGGUUGGCUCAAAUCUAACUUGAAAAUCAAAUGUGAUAGUAUUUCGAUAUCCCUGGAGUUGGAAUGGUGAGAUUGAUUCUUAAUGCUUAUAGAUUUCUUAUUUGUGCUUUAUAUUGGUAUGGUUUUACUUGUGCGGAAGUAGUGAUAGAAAAUAAUAAGAUAAUUGGUUGGCUCAAAUCUAACUUGAAAAUCAAAUGUGAUGGUAUUUCGAUAUCACUGGAGUUAGAAUGGUGAGAUUGAUUGUUAAUGCUUAUAGAUUUCUUA
This 594-nucleotide long non-coding RNA is filed under the name Ananas comosus (pineapple). Its description in RNAcentral is "long non-coding RNA (ACOM_LNC041334)". The record is from RNAcentral. Lineage: Eukaryota; Viridiplantae; Streptophyta; Magnoliopsida; Poales; Bromeliaceae.